CAGUAGCCACGGUAAUACGUAGGUGGCAAGCGUUGUCCGGAAUCAUCGGGCGUAAAGGGCUCGCAGGCGGUUUCUUAAGUCUGAUGUGAAAGCCCCCGGCUCAACCGGGGAGGGUCAUUGGAAACUGGGAAACUUGAGUGCAGAAGAGGAGAGUGGAAUUCCACGUGUAGCGGUGAAAUGCGUAGAGAUGUGGAGGAACACCAGUGGCGAAGGCGACUCUCUGGUCUGUAACUGACGCUGAGGAGCGAAAGCGUGGGGAGCGAACAGGAUUAGAUACCCCUGUAGUCCCUGUCUCUUAUAC
RNAcentral lists this ribosomal RNA (301 nucleotides) under uncultured bacterium. Its description in RNAcentral is "partial 16S ribosomal RNA". It matches the Rfam family "Bacterial small subunit ribosomal RNA", at positions 509 to 807 of the family's 1533-position model. The record is from RNAcentral.